CAAAACAUAUUGGAUAUCUUAUAAAUUAAAUUCAUUUAUCACUUAUAAUUUAAACAGUCUCAUAAUUUAGUUUUGGCGAAAGUUCACACCAGAAAGAAAAAUCCCAUGGAGGUAAAAAAAAUAAAAAUGGUUCUGCUGAAUGUUCCUGUGAAGAGCAAAUAAGUAGUCAGUCCUGCACGGCUUCUUCACGUUGUGUCCCCACACACAAGUCACACAACUGAGAACAUACUCCAUCUGUCUCAGUCAAUUGGAGGCGUUUCUUUUUCACUGCAUGCAUUUUAAGACUCCUAUAUAACAAGCUACCAGAUUCCCUAAUGAUUUUCUCCAUGACAUCGCAGUAGAAGUAAAUCCAACUAUUCCACCUACAAUCAAUAACAAAGAAUUAGACCACGAAAUCGACUAUGCACAGAGUACACACUCUCAAUCCAAGAUCAACAUAACCAUUUCACUAAGCUUAUUCUGACUUAUAAGUCAAAACUCCAGGAUCAAGAUAACUACUUAACUAAGCUUGUUAGUGUGUGUAAAGACAGAGCAAUGCUAGUACCCCAUGGGAGGAGUAUUGCCUGUUGGAAUAUUUGUUUAAUCUAAACUUGUGUUAAAAUAAAUUAUUGUUAGCAGGUGGUUUAGUUUGUAUGUAUUAGCAGGAGAGAUAUGAUAGGAGAGUCAUGGGUAGUUGAAGUAUUUUAGGAGUCCACUACGUUAGUUGCUAUUUUUGUGUUACCACCUUGUGCCUGUAGUUCUAUUUAAAUUGCAUGUAUCUUGUUUAGUUCAUUAUUAGAAGAAGAGAAUACAAUGUAGUCUUUAUGUAUCUUCUCCGUUUAUUCAUAUAAAACUACAAUCUCUAUAUCCUUAUUAUUAUUUUUAUCAAAUUUCAACAUGGUACCAGAGCUUGGGGGAGUAUCAAUGUGACGCCCCCAGAUCCGCAUUCCGCAGAUUUGGUCCAUCACUAUAN
RNAcentral lists this long non-coding RNA (952 nucleotides) under Daucus carota (carrot). RNAcentral's name for it is "long non-coding RNA (DCAR_LNC006367)". Lineage: Eukaryota; Viridiplantae; Streptophyta; Magnoliopsida; Apiales; Apiaceae. The record is from RNAcentral.